RNAcentral lists this ribosomal RNA (1250 nucleotides) under Staphylococcus epidermidis. RNAcentral describes it as "partial 23S ribosomal RNA". It matches the Rfam family "Bacterial large subunit ribosomal RNA", at positions 662 to 1913 of the family's 2925-position model. The record is from RNAcentral. Lineage: Bacteria; Bacillati; Bacillota; Bacilli; Caryophanales; Staphylococcaceae.
GGAGCCGCAGCGAAAGCGAGUCUGAAUAGGGCGUUGAGUAUUUGGUCGUAGACCCGAAACCAGGUGAUCUACCCUUGGUCAGGUUGAAGUUCAGGUAACACUGAAUGGAGGACCGAACCGACUUACGUUGAAAAGUGAGCGGAUGAACUGAGGGUAGCGGAGAAAUUCCAAUCGAACUUGGAGAUAGCUGGUUCUCUCCGAAAUAGCUUUAGGGCUAGCCUCAAGUGAUGAUUAUUGGAGGUAGAGCACUGUUUGGACGAGGGGCCCCUCUCGGGUUACCGAAUUCAGACAAACUCCGAAUGCCAAUUAAUUUAACUUGGGAGUCAGAACAUGGGUGAUAAGGUCCGUGUUCGAAAGGGAAACAGCCCAGACCACCAGCUAAGGUCCCAAAAUAUAUGUUAAGUGGAAAAGGAUGUGGCGUUGCCCAGACAACUAGGAUGUUGGCUUAGAAGCAGCCAUCAUUUAAAGAGUGCGUAAUAGCUCACUAGUCGAGUGACACUGCGCCGAAAAUGUACCGGGGCUAAACAUAUUACCGAAGCUGUGGAUUGUCCUUUGGACAAUGGUAGGAGAGCGUUCUAAGGGCGUCGAAGCAUGAUCGCAAGGACAUGUGGAGCGCUUAGAAGUGAGAAUGCCGGUGUGAGUAGCGAAAGACGGGUGAGAAUCCCGUCCACCGAUUGACUAAGGUUUCCAGAGGAAGGCUCGUCCGCUCUGGGUUAGUCGGGUCCUAAGCUGAGGCCGACAGGCGUAGGCGAUGGAUAACAGGUUGAUAUUCCUGUACCACCUAGUAUCGUUUUAAUCGAUGGGGGGACGCAGUAGGAUAGGCGAAGCGUGCUGUUGGAGUGCACGUCCAAGCAGUAAGGCUGAGUGUUAGGCAAAUCCGGCACUCAUAAGGCUGAGCUGUGAUGGGGAGAGGAAAUUGUUUCCUCGAGUCGUUGAUUUCACACUGCCGAGAAAAGCCUCUAGAUAGAUAACAGGUGCCCGUACCGCAAACCGACACAGGUAGUCAAGAUGAGAAUUCUAAGGUGAGCGAGCGAACUCUCGUUAAGGAACUCGGCAAAAUGACCCCGUAACUUCGGGAGAAGGGGUGCUCUUUAGGGUUCACGCCCAGAAGAGCCGCAGUGAAUAGGCCCAAGCGACUGUUUAUCAAAAACACAGGUCUCUGCUAAACCGUAAGGUGAUGUAUAGGGGCUGACGCCUGCCCGGUGCUGGAAGGUUAAGAGGAGUGGUUAGCUUCUGCGAAGCUACGAAUC